AGCCUGUCAAAAGUGAACGCUCUGCAUCCAAAUUAACUGUGUGGCACAGGGCUCCUCUCUGCCGUGUUAUCAGCACUGCUUGUGGUGCCCUCAUUUUUAUGCAGUGUACACGUCCUUGUAAGGAUGGCUGGAAUACAGCAUUCAGAGCAAGACUUGUGUUCUUCCCCAGAUCGCACAUCAUGAAGUUACAUUUCCUUAGGCACAGCUUCCCUUGUUCGGGAACACUCUUCAGCACCUUCAGCUCUCUCUCUCAUUUUCACUCUAUUUGAUAUUUCUGUUGCUGAAGAGGAACUGAUACUCUGCACUGGAGGAAAGGACAGCAUCAAUUAUUGCAAGAACCAGUUUGGCAUUGCAUUCAUUCUAAUGUCCAUGGGAAUGCAAUUAUGCAUCCAGCUCUCUGAAAUCCUCAGGGAACUCAGGACAAUCUGUAUUAGGGACCCUCGCUGGCUUCUCAUGGACUCCCUUGGGUCACUCUCAUGUCCCUCUGCCACCCGGUGUGUGAGGAGCUGUGUAUAACAGGACAGGGCUGAGAGAUGUAUGUGCUGCUGCUUGUGAGCAG
RNAcentral lists this long non-coding RNA (559 nucleotides) under Gallus gallus (chicken). RNAcentral's name for it is "lncRNA (ENSGALG00010019808.1)". The record is from RNAcentral. Lineage: Eukaryota; Metazoa; Chordata; Aves; Galliformes; Phasianidae.